GGAGAGAUGCCUGAGCGGUUGAAAGGGCUAGUCUCGAAAACUAGUGUGGGCUCCGGCUCACCGUGAGUUCGAAUCUCACUCUCUCCG
RNAcentral lists this transfer RNA (87 nucleotides) under Phycisphaerae bacterium. Its description in RNAcentral is "tRNA-Ser". It matches the Rfam family "tRNA". Rfam says of the family: Transfer RNA (tRNA) molecules are approximately 80 nucleotides in length. Their secondary structure includes four short double-helical elements and three loops (D, anti-codon, and T loops). Further hydrogen bonds mediate the characteristic L-shaped molecular structure. tRNAs have two regions of fundamental functional importance: the anti-codon, which is responsible for specific mRNA codon recognition, and the 3' end, to which the tRNAs corresponding amino acid is attached (by aminoacyl-tRNA synthetases). tRNAs cope with the degeneracy of the genetic code in two manners: having more than one tRNA (with a specific anti-codon) for a particular amino acid; and 'wobble' base-pairing, i.e. permitting non-standard base-pairing at the 3rd anti-codon position. The record is from RNAcentral. Lineage: Bacteria; Pseudomonadati; Planctomycetota; Phycisphaerae.